Molecule: ribosomal RNA, 492 nt
Filed under: uncultured bacterium
Lineage: Bacteria
Description: partial 16S ribosomal RNA
Rfam family: Bacterial small subunit ribosomal RNA
Source: RNAcentral
AGUGAACGCUGGCGGUAGGCCUAACACAUGCAAGUCGAACGGCAGCACAGUAAGAGCUUGCUCUUACGGGUGGCGAGUGGCGGACGGGUGAGGAAUACAUCGGAAUCUACUUUUUCGUGGGGGAUAACGUAGGGAAGCUUACGCUAAUACCGCAUACGACCUACGGGUGAAAGCAGGGGAUCUUCGGACCUUGCGCGAUUGAAUGAGCCGAUGUCGGAUUAGCCAGUUGGCGGGGUAAAGGCCCACCAAGGCGACGAUCCGUAGCUGGUCUGAGAGGAUGAUCAGCCACACUGGAACUGAGACACGGUCCAGACUCCUACGGGAGGCAGCAGUGGGGAAUAUUGGACAAUGGGCGCAAGCCUGAUCCAGCCAUACCGCGUGGGUGAAGAAGGCCUUCGGGUUGUAAAGCCCUUUUGUUGGGAAAGAAAAGCAGCAGGUUAAUACCCCGCUGUUCUGACGGUACCCAAAGAAUAAGCACCGGCUAACUUCGUG